GGCGCAGUGCCGUAAUGGUUAGCGGAACGGUUUGCUAAAUCGUCCAUCAGAAAUGAUGUGCAGGUUCGAAUCCUGCCUGCGUCG
Molecule: transfer RNA, 84 nt
Filed under: butyrate-producing bacterium SS3/4
Lineage: Bacteria; Bacillati; Bacillota; Clostridia; Eubacteriales
Also listed under: 1 other name
Description: tRNA-Ser (GCT) (tRNA-Ser-GCT-2-1)
Rfam family: tRNA
About the family: Transfer RNA (tRNA) molecules are approximately 80 nucleotides in length.
Source: RNAcentral